Anolis carolinensis (green anole) is the source of this 655-nucleotide long non-coding RNA. RefSeq lists it as uncharacterized. The record is from RefSeq and is a predicted model, not a curated record. The transcript has 4 exons. NCBI's taxonomy places the organism in Eukaryota, Metazoa, Chordata, Lepidosauria, Squamata, Anolidae.
UCUAGACAACCUCAGAUUGGAAGACAAGGACACACUCAUAAGGAAAACCUAACUACACUUUCCAGUGAAAAUGCUUAACGCAGUGACAGUCAAAGCCUUGUCAGUUAAAAUCCUGUAUGGUCUCUUUGAAGUUGCAGGUGUAGGCGCCUCUGCGUCUGCGCUGGCUGUGCCAUUUAUAUGCACUGCUGUUGCAGUAGCGGGUCUUUCGGCUGCAUACAUCACUCACAAAGUUCACCAAAUGGAAAAAAAGCGUUAUUGACGCAUCCAUGGAGGACGAUGGGAUGACCCUGGAGAUUGAAAAUCUCAUGUUGCAUUGCUUUUGAUGAGCUGCCCUGUGUUAAUUGUCGGUAUUUAUCCGGCUGCUGAAAUUUCCCUGUAGUUGACUAUUGCAUGGCUGUGAUUCUUAUACAUAGAAGGAAGAUGGAUUGCCAGGUUUUUAAAAUAGCAUUGUGAAUUGCCCUCUGAAAACAGAAUUGCAGUUCAGUGCUCAAACUACUAUAUCACUGAUUGGGAAGCCACUUAUUGGGAAAUUGAAGGUUGUUUUCUUGAUUUGCGGGGGAAGCUGCUUGCAAUUAUAUUAAUAAUUUCAGCCUAUGCCGUUGAGCCAUAUAUGAAACCAAUUACUUUUAAAAUAAAGCUUUUGAACUCUGGAAAA